Long non-coding RNA from Vigna unguiculata (cowpea), 426 nucleotides. NCBI's taxonomy places the organism in Eukaryota, Viridiplantae, Streptophyta, Magnoliopsida, Fabales, Fabaceae. The record is from RefSeq and is a predicted model, not a curated record.
CCAGGAGUUGCUUCCUCAGGAGGGAACAGAAGUUCAACAUUCUCAUGCUUUGCAUCAGAAGCCGCCAUCAGCAUUCCGCAGGAUUUGACCCCACGCAUAUUUCUUGGCUUCAGAAAAAACACCAAUAUAAUGCCAAUUCCAGCCUCAAAUCCACUUCUGCACUGUUGCCAUGCACACACAAAGAAGCAACUAUUCAACCAGUCAUAAGUUUGUCUACAUAAUCCAUCAUUGUAUACAUUAUUUGCACAACAUAAAGUGUGUUGCUUGUAGAAUUCACACUGUGCAAAUGAUGCACAAAGAGCAGUCAGUAGAAAUCACUGUUUCUUCCACUACACGGAUUAUCCAAAUGAAUAGAAGUUUUGAUUUGAAAGUUGAAACCACAUAAACUAUCAAGAGAGGACAAUCUGAACUAGUUCUUUAGUGACA